UACACACCGCCCGUCACACCAUGAGAGCUGCGAACACCCAAAGCCGGUAGCCUAACCGCAAGGAGGGCGCUGUCUAAGGUGGGCGUGGUAAUUGGGGUGAAGUCGUAACAAGGUACC
RNAcentral lists this ribosomal RNA (117 nucleotides) under uncultured bacterium. RNAcentral describes it as "partial 16S ribosomal RNA". It matches the Rfam family "Bacterial small subunit ribosomal RNA", at positions 1384 to 1500 of the family's 1533-position model. The record is from RNAcentral.